CAGUGGGUAAGGUUAGCACAGCCAGAAAGGAGGCCCCGAAAAUGCUUGGUGCUUACACAAAGCUGCCAUCUGUCAAGAAGUGCUGGCCACUUAAACCUGGAGUGACUCAUACAGUCACUAAUUAAUCCCGGAAGGCAGCAGGAGCUAAGUGGAAAUGCAUUCUUUUAAAGAGAUGGAAGGAAAUUGGCCCCUACAAGGGAAAAUGAAAUCGUGGCUCUAGCUUUUUUCCUGGUGGCUUCCAGUCACCUGUCACUCACUGAAUAAUGCAUCCCCCUGGGAGGCUGGCUGGUGUGCAGGAGGAGCUGUGAGUGGCAGCGCAGCCUUUCCCUGGUAACAUCAGUGGACUGCGAAGCGGAAAUAGCGCAAGUGAGCCUCUCGCCCUCUCCUCCACUGAGGAUAGAACAAAGAAGAAACCAAUAUCCGGAUAAGUAUGCCCAGACGGACCUCCUGCUGGCCUGUCUCCUGAUAGAGGGCACCCACUGGGGAACCAGUCCCUUAGACUCAAUCACACAGCAGGGGGCCCGCAGAGGAAUCCACUGUGGUUCUUAGGAUAGAGGCUGUUAGAACAGAGCUGGGUACCCCUCUUUUGUUCCUCUGUGUUUUAUUCUGCCAUGUCAUAAUAAAUAAGCAGACGAUUUCUCCAAAGUCAGAAAGUAUCGGUGGCGUAUUUUUCAGGGGCUUGGGCUUGCUGUUAUGCUGAGGAAAAUCCUCAAGGUUUCACGAGAGGCUGCACUCAGUUUAGGCAAUAGCAGAGAAAUAACAAAUUCCAUGGCAACAGAGAAGCGGGGGGCUGUCAGGAACCUCGGUUAGGCCUUCCUCAGGGUGGGCAGCGGGUAACAUUCACUGAAGUCCACAUGACAUACAUCCAAAACACUAACGCCUGGAUUGCUUCAAGAGUACU
Long non-coding RNA from Fukomys damarensis (Damara mole-rat), 901 nucleotides. RefSeq lists it as uncharacterized. The record is from RefSeq and is a predicted model, not a curated record. The transcript has 3 exons. NCBI's taxonomy places the organism in Eukaryota, Metazoa, Chordata, Mammalia, Rodentia, Bathyergidae.